RNAcentral lists this ribosomal RNA (630 nucleotides) under Streptomyces sp. Ri3Pw_6299. Its description in RNAcentral is "bacterial SSU rRNA". It matches the Rfam family "Bacterial small subunit ribosomal RNA", at positions 382 to 1021 of the family's 1533-position model. Lineage: Bacteria; Bacillati; Actinomycetota; Actinomycetes; Kitasatosporales; Streptomycetaceae. The record is from RNAcentral.
CCUGAUGCAGCGACGCCGCGUGAGGGAUGACGGCCUUCGGGUUGUAAACCUCUUUCAGCAGGGAAGAAGCGAGAGUGACGGUACCUGCAGAAGAAGCGCCGGCUAACUACGUGCCAGCAGCCGCGGUAAUACGUAGGGCGCAAGCGUUGUCCGGAAUUAUUGGGCGUAAAGAGCUCGUAGGCGGCUUGUCGCGUCGGAUGUGAAAGCCCGGGGCUUAACCCCGGGUCUGCAUUCGAUACGGGCAGGCUAGAGUUCGGUAGGGGAGAUCGGAAUUCCUGGUGUAGCGGUGAAAUGCGCAGAUAUCAGGAGGAACACCGGUGGCGAAGGCGGAUCUCUGGGCCGAUACUGACGCUGAGGAGCGAAAGCGUGGGGAGCGAACAGGAUUAGAUACCCUGGUAGUCCACGCCGUAAACGUUGGGAACUAGGUGUGGGCGACAUUCCACGUCGUCCGUGCCGCAGCUAACGCAUUAAGUUCCCCGCCUGGGGAGUACGGCCGCAAGGCUAAAACUCAAAGGAAUUGACGGGGGCCCGCACAAGCAGCGGAGCAUGUGGCUUAAUUCGACGCAACGCGAAGAACCUUACCAAGGCUUGACAUACACCGGAAACGUCUGGAGACAGGCGCCCCCUUGU